ACCCGCUGAACUUAAGCAUAUCAAUAAGCGGAGAAAAAGAAACCAACAGGGAUUGCCCUAGUAACGGCGAGUGAAGCGGCAUCAGCUCAAAUUUGAAAUCUGGCUCUUUUAGGGUCCGAGUUGUAAUUUGCAGAGGGAGCUUUGGCAUAGGCAGCGAUUCAAGUUCCUUGGAACAGGACGUCACAGAGGGUGAGAAUCCCGUACGUGGUCGCUAGCUCUUGCCGUGUAAAGCCCCUUCGACGAGUCGAGUUGUUUGGGAAUGCAGCUCUAAAUGGGAGGUAAAUUUCUUCUAAAGCUAAAUAUUGGCUAGAGACCGAUAGCGCACAAGUAGAGUGAUCGAAAGAUGAAAAGUACUUUGGAAAGAGAGUCAAAAAGCACGUGAAAUUGUUGAAAGGGAAGCGCUUGCAGCCAGACUUGCCUGUAGUUGCUCAUCCGGGCUUUUGCCCGGUGCACUCUUCUGUAGGCAGGCCAGCAUCAGUUUGGGCGGUUGGAUAAAGGUCUCUGUCAUGUACUUCUCUUCGGGGAAGCCUUAUAGGGGAGGCGACAUACAACCAGCCUGGACUGAGGUCCGCGCAUUCGUGCUAGGAUGCUGGCGUAAUGGCUGU
This 605-nucleotide ribosomal RNA is filed under the name uncultured fungus. Its description in RNAcentral is "eukaryotic LSU rRNA". It matches the Rfam family "Eukaryotic large subunit ribosomal RNA", at positions 23 to 641 of the family's 3401-position model. The record is from RNAcentral. Lineage: Eukaryota; Fungi.